This 5620-nucleotide long non-coding RNA is filed under the name Sus scrofa (pig). RNAcentral describes it as "lncRNA (ENSSSCG00060015252.1)". Lineage: Eukaryota; Metazoa; Chordata; Mammalia; Artiodactyla; Suidae. The record is from RNAcentral.
GGAAGCACACCCAUUACCAGGGGUGAAAGGCAAUGACAGAUCUGCUGGGCAGCUUUCCACCGCUCCCAGAUCCUUAACCCACCACUCGGCUAGGGAUCAAACCCGAGUCCUCAUGGAUACUAGUGGGGUUGAUAACCUGCUGAGCCACAGUGGGAGCUCCUGGAGGCAGUUUUUCCCAAUGGGUGCAGGAGCUGGUGCAGAGGCUGUGCAUGUGGGGGUCGGCCCCAGGGGAUCCCGCAAACCAUGUUCAUCCUUGCCCUUGCCUAGAGGUCAGCUCUGCUACAUAGGGGCCAGAGGAGCAGGUAGUGGGGUGCUUAAGCAGGGUCCACCUUCGACUCGGGCAUCCCCUGGCCUAUAGCGGGGCAAUGGAAGGAGGGGGGAUUGGCGAGAUGGGGGCUGGGAGCCCGUGGGGGUGAAGGGUUUGGGGUGAUGGAAGCUUGCACGAGGAGAUGAUGCUUUUGAAGCUUGUUUUUGCUUCUUCACACAUUUCCUGGCCCUAGAAGCCAGCUUGGGCCUCUGAGAUUUGGUGUCUCCUCUGCCAUCUGGGGGAAGGGGCCUCUGUUUUGUAGGGUGGGUGGGAAAUUGUGACCAGAAAUAGUGCUGCUUGUAGGAAGCUGACAAAGAAGGCUGAUCCUUCCCUCUUUUCUGAGCUGUUCUCUGUUGCAGGGAAAUAGCGGUCAGCUUGACACCCCAUGAAGCCUGUACCGGUGGCACUGGCAAAAUUAAAUGACUUCCUGAUGAUAGUAAUUAGAUUAGUAACUAAUAAUCAGAACCAACAUUCGUCUAGUUCUUAUUAAGUCCUGGGCAAUGUGAAUCAGGCCUCCUCUAUUCUAUGAUUUAAUUCCCACAGUCAUCCUAGGCUUGCAGUGCUAUAAUUAGCCCCAUUUUACAGAUGAGAGAAACAAGAUCAGAGAGGCCGAGUGUAGUUUCUGAGGUCACACAGCUAAAAGUGGCUGCCAGGGCCUGUGCUGUGAACCCCUGUACAAGGGAGCAGACAGACUCUGUGUGUGCGGAGGGCGGUAGAGGUCACGGGAAGGCUUUCCCGUGCUAGCGGAUUGGUGGGGCAAGCUUGCUUGCAGGAGCUGUGACAAAGGCACCGCCAUCGAGGAUUCUGGAAGGGACGGGGAUGUGGGCUUUACUCGGCCUCCUGCAGUUUGUCAGUCCCAGGGCCUGCGCGCGGAGGUCUGGGGCAGGCUGGGCCCACGGGCCCCCAUCUGCUCCUGCACCUGCCCUGGACCGUGAAGGAUGCAGAGGAGGCCCAACAGGCAGGACUCCCGGAACCCCCUGACCUCCGCCUUCGGUCUCCGCCUCUGCCCAUGUCUUCUGCGGGACUUCUCCAGAGCUAUGGUUGGUGGCCAUGGACCUUUGUUCUGGACAUGGCUUUUUCCAGGCCCAUGUCAGUUGUGUGGAUUGAGCACAUCUGUAUGGGGAGCUCCCUCCCCGGGGAAUACUGCCUCCUGCCUGCAGUGCUCCUGACCCGCCCAUCAGAGCAGAGUGGCCGCUGCCUCGGCGUCCAGGCUUGACCGGCUGGCCUGGCAAUGCUCCUCGGGGCUGGGUCCCGGGGUCGUGAACCAUGAACGGGACCACUGCAGGGGCUGUGAAGUGUAACGCUCGAGUCCCUUGGGGGGGGACUCUGGUCACUGCGAGCCAGGCGCUGCUUAGGGCGCCUUAUUUCUGGCCAUCUGACAACCCCUGUGUGGUCAUUGUUUUACAGACGAGGAGACCGAGGCCUUAGGGAGGUGAAGGAACUUGCCCCAAGGCAGAGCCCUGAGGCCAGAGCUGAGCCUCAGCCGCUUGUGAGCAGGGGUCAGGGCUUCGGGGUGGCCGGGGUGGGGGGGGGCACGUCUUGGCUUCUUUCACGUCUCAGAUUCUUCUUAUCUUAGGCAGAGACAGAAAGCGAGGCUUUCCUUUCCAUAAACUGUUUUAACCGAACCUCACUGCAGAUCCCUGGGCGGUGCUGGUUUCACUCUGGAUAAAGAAUGGGUGGGGCUCAAUGCGGAUGGUUGGAAGGGGGCAGGGGUGCCGCCAGCCUUUGGAGGAGACCGGGAUCAGACGCCUCUAGUGGGGUGAGCCCUGGGCCCGUGGCCAUCUCUUCACUGCCUUGAAGGGGAGUCUCUUUCCUCAGAUGACACCUGUUUUAAAAUUCGGCUCCCCCCCCGCCACCGUUCAGUGCAGGGACCUAUGUCCAGUCUCUUGGGGUAGAGCAUGAAGUGGAAGAUGGCAUGAGAAAAGGCAUGUAUAUCUUUGUGUGGCUGGGUCGCUCUGCUGUACAGCGGAAAUUGACACAACACUGUAUGUACAUCAACUAUAUGCUAAGAAAAAAAACUCUGCGACUCAGCAGUUUGAGCAUUUGGAGCUGGGUCUCAGCUCACUGUGCAGAAAUCUAUACUAAACACAUAGACAGUUUAGGAAGAAAGAUUGUUUUUCUGAAGGGUAUAUAAUUGUCAGAGCUGAAUUGGGCAGCACUUCCUGGGGCUCUCCACGUGUGUUGAUCCAUGACGCGGACACAGCUUCCCUAAAGAUCGCUGAUAUAUCACCACUCCCGUUUUACACAUGAAGAACCUGAGGCUCGGGGGAUUAGGUUAUCUGCCAUGGAUGGAUCCCUCAGCCAGUAGGUGGCCCAGGGGGGAUUUGAACCCAGGGAGAGGCUGCAGAGCUCUCACAGGUAGCAGUGCUGCCCCGCGUUAUCUCACAGCUGCCCCGGUGGGGACACCGCAUUAUCCCCAUGAGGAAGGGAGGGCUCUGAGCAGUAAAGGAAUUUGCCAGAAUUCAGCAUGUUGUAGAUGGCGGCAUUAGGAUUGAGCCCAGAUCCACUGGCUCCAAGUACAGGGUCGCUCUCAUGUCCUCCUCUCCCUUCCUUGGUAACUUGCAGCCUCAACCCAAGUUACCUGGUCCUGCUGUCCUUUAGGUGCUGAUGUCUGUGGAGUGCCCAUGCUCCACUGGUUUGGAGUGGGUGGUCUCCCCGGCCUUCUCUCUGCCAGCUGUGAGCCCCUUGGGGUCAAGCAUGGUGUCGGUUUUGCCUUUGCUCCCAGCACCUCAUGCUUAAGCCAGGAUUCCCUCUGCAUGUAGGAUGAUCAGAAAACAUGGUCCAUGAAGCUAGGCCCGGUGUGUGCCCUUUGGCGUCAAGGGUGUCAAGGUGAAGGCUGGGCCAUGUGUGACCGUGGCCAGUUCCACCGCUUUGGUGAAGGUGUUUCCACGGGGCAUGGUGGCCUGAGGGUCAGUCUGCCCCAUGGGUGGUCUGUGCUCCGUGCCAGGUGUUUGCAGGUUCUGGGCCUCAGAAAGCUGUCCGGCCUGGAAGCAUUUCCUUCUGCCUGGCCUAACAUGUCCUUCUGUAUCUCCACCGUGGAGUGGGAGCCAGAGGGCGACCGAUGCCGACAUCACGUUCUCAGCCACUCCAAGCAACGUGAACCCCAAUAAGAGUGUUAAGUCACCCGCAGUCUCUCCUUCUCGUUUGCCACUAACCUCCCUCCCAGUCCCGCUCCCCAGGCUGUUGUAAUCAUGUCUCUACCUUUCCCAGACCUUCUCCAGCAGCUCCGUCCACCCCCGACCCCUGGCUGCCUGGUCACCACCAGAUCCGUAGUCUUGAGGCAGCAUAGGCGUUUGUUACGCCUUUGCAGAGACCUCAACCCCAAAGAGAUGAACAACGCCAUUAAAAAAGGAGCCAAGGACUUGAAUGGACAUUUCUCCAGAGAAGAUAUGCCGGUGGCCAGCGAGCACGGGAAAAGAUGGAAACACAAAUCACAGCCCCGAGGUAGCCCUUCUUAAUACCUGCUAGGGUGGCUUUCAUCAACAACAGCAACAACAAACAAGUGUUGCCGAGGAUGUGGAGAAAUGGGAGCCCUUGUGCAUUGCUGGUGUGAACAUAAAAUUGUGCAGCCAUUGUGAAAGACAGUUCCGUGAAAUAUGAAAUUACCGUAUGGCCCAGCAAUGAAUUCACUCUUAGCAUGUGAUGUGUGUGUGUGUGUGUGUGUGUGUGUGUACACACACACGCGAUGGAAUGUAUAUGUACAUAAAAUGGAAUAUAGUGGAAUAAUAGUCCAUUACCUAUCUGUGCACACACACACACAUGCAAUGGACUGUUAUUCAGCCAUGAGAAGGAAUGAGCUACUGCCCUGCGCCAACACGGACAAACCUCGGAAACAUUAUGGUUGGUAAAAGAAGCCAGACAUAAAGGGUCACCUAUGAUUCCACCUAAACACCCAGAGUAGGUAAAUCCAUAAAGACAAAAUGCAAAUUGGUGGUUGCUGGGGGCGGGGGGCCAGGGCGAGUACCCACUUUGUGGGUACGAGGUUUUAUUUGGGGGGUGGAAAUGUUGAGCAGCUAGAGGUGAUGAUUGUACAACGUUGUGAAUGUACAAAGCAACACCAAAUUGUAGACUUUAAAAUGAUUGGUUCAGUUCGAUGUGAAUUGCACCUCAAUUAAAAGCAACAAACGUGGUGGCACGGCGGGUCCCCUUAGGUAAAAAGAGGGAACGUGGGGCACUCACUUCCUACCGGAUACCGUGCCUGACCCUUGAUCCCACUGAAUUCUAUUCAGAAGGGAUGGGCUGUUAUUCCCACUUUGCAGAUGAGAAAGUAGAGGCACACUAGAGCACUCCGUUUAUGGUGGCUCAGGGUUUCUCUGAGUCUGACCUGCCCUUGAUCACUUUCCAGCAUUCCUUCUCAGCAACACAGAGGCUUUUGUUUCAUGUUGUAGGCUUUUGUUGUGGAUUCUUGACUCGUGUUGGGAACUGGACUCAGCCCCAUGGACGGGUGGCACUGACCUUGAGAAGCUCGGUUCUGGGUGCAUUAGUGAGAUGCCUGCCCUUUGCCUCCCACACAGCCGGGUCCUUUGAGGCCACCCACCUACAGGGAUCUUGUUCUAACAGGGCCCUCACAUCCCUCACAGGGAGGCAAACAUUUGUAGCUGAAAGAGGAGAGAAGCCCAGGGUUCAAGUCACCCUUCUUCCUUGUGAUCGGGGUUGAGUCUCUUAAACCCUCGGGACUUCAGUGCAGUGGGAGAGCGUGGGACACCCACCCCCAUCUUUCCUGGGUCAUUGUGGGGAUUGAAUGCCCUCUCAGGGCAAGAGCUCUGAGAAUGAAAAAACACCACAUGCGCAUGAGUGAUGGAAAUGGUCCCUCCUGGAGUCAAGUUCAACUCCAAAAUCUAGCACAGGAGCGCUGUGGCUGGUGCUCAGCCAUGGUUUGCUGCACGAACAAGUCAAUGAACCAGCAGUAGGCGGUCAGGGACCUCCGUGGUGGGCUCGGUCCAGGAGGUGGGCUUGCAAUCAUCCUUCAUACGCGUGCAGCCCGGGACUGAGCUCACAGUAGGUUGUCAGGAAAUGGUCGUGGAUUGGUACGUUUUUUACAAGUCACAGGUUUGUGGCAAUCCUGCCAUUUUCCCAACAGCAUUUGCUCACUUCAUGUCUCUGUGUCACAUGUUGGGAAUUCUCACACUGUUGCAGCCGUUUUCAUUGCUGCUGUAUUUGUUACGAUGAUCUGCGAUCUUUGAUAGUUACUAUUGUAAUUUUUGUAUAAUUUUGUCCUUUUAAAUUAAGGGAGGUACUUUUUUUUAAACGUAAUGCUAUUGCACACUUUAUAGAUCACGCUGUGGUGUAAACAUAGCUUUUAUAUGUGCAGGG